GUGUGUGAAUGAUGAGAAUAUGAAAUUUACAGUUAUCCCUGUCUGAGUAAAGCAGUGCUGAUUUUUCCAAAUCUCUGACACCAAU
Small nucleolar RNA from Papaver somniferum (opium poppy), 85 nucleotides. RefSeq annotates it as small nucleolar RNA R38. The record is from RefSeq and is a predicted model, not a curated record. Lineage: Eukaryota; Viridiplantae; Streptophyta; Magnoliopsida; Ranunculales; Papaveraceae. The transcript has a single exon.